RNAcentral lists this ribosomal RNA (5032 nucleotides) under Triticum aestivum (bread wheat). RNAcentral describes it as "partial small subunit ribosomal RNA". The record is from RNAcentral. Lineage: Eukaryota; Viridiplantae; Streptophyta; Magnoliopsida; Poales; Poaceae.
GGGUCCUCAUUGAAUGUGUUAGCAUGCAUCUUUAGUCUCCACCUAACCCGCUUACUAAGCGCGAGGAGGUGGGCAGAUGGUGAUGCGGAUGCGGAUGCGCGGCAUGGUGGAAGAGGAGGAGAGGAGGGGCUAGAGCGGUCGGUCGGUCGGUCGCUCGCGGCUUUUUCUUUUUUCUUUUUUUCUCAAGCGUGUGGUGUGUGGGGCGGCAGAGGAGGUAGAGUAGGAGGACGACGAGGAGCGGCAGCCGCCGAAGUCGGGGAUCCACCUGGCGGCGGCCUAGACUGGCGCCUUCGAGGGGCGAAGGCGGCAGCGGCGGCGGCGGCGGUCUAGGCGCCUUCGCGCGGCGCCUAGGCGGCAAGGCGUUGGGCGCGGCGCUCCCGGCUCGGAAAGUCGAGCCGUAACCGAACCAGGCUAGGCCUCCGGAGGAAAAACGUCCGACUUCUUUAGACACCAGAAGCUCCACAGGUACCACGUCUUAGCAGUUCAUACUCUACACACGCCGUGUACCACACGACUUCAGGCCACACUUGAACGGGAGGACCAUUGAACCAACGAAUGACCCCACUACGUACCCGACCCUGUGCCGUCAAUAUAUACUCAUGGCAACUGGGGAACGAGGACAGUAGUAGGCCUUCACGUCUGAGCGGAAGUUUCAUAUGACGAAGACGGGCCGGUAGCCACCCGAGUAACUUGACGGAGACGGCACGACUAAGUACGAGAAGGAGUCACAUACUCCUAACGCUGUGACGAAGACAAUUAAAACGCCUACUUCCCCUACGGUAUGGUUCCGUAACAGGCCUCCUCAGACUACACUCGUCCCACCGUCUCGCUAAGGUCAGACGACUAAGCGUAAAGAAGGUAGCAGAGAGCCACCUUACGAGAGUCUUCCUCUCCGUCGCCUUCUAAAGAACCCCACCACAUUACCUCUACGUCGCCAGAGGUAGUAGGGAUCUCCAGCCUCAUCAUAGAAGGAGGGUCCUCUUUGGUUUAGCUGGGGGCUCCCCGUCCUUGUUCUCGAGCGUAAAACUUCUGGACAAAAGUAGACUCGUUCUCGUACUGGGUUCCGAUUAAAUGUAGUUACUAGGACUGUCUUGUUUGCUGGCUAUACUUAAAUGUCCUUUACUCUAAGCUUGUUCGUUCAUAUGAAACUAAUGAAAGGACGGAUUCUUGGAGAAGUAGGUCAAGGUAGCCGACCGAAUACAUAUGAAGGAUCAAUAACGACGAGAAUUGGUCGAUGGAGGAAAUCGACACAAACCUUCCUGGCGAAGUAACAAGGGCGAUGAAAAACACAACAAACACUGACGAUAUUUUCUACCAAUACUUCUGACCGCAGCAGUGUCUAGACUGUCCUUACUUUUAUUGGCUCUCCGUGAACAAGAAGUUGUACCACUAAAAGCCAGCUUUUUUACCUUUGUGUAAACACACCCCCUCCAACAGUUUUAAGUAAGGUUACUUUGUUACGGUACACUAUACCAGGACGACCCAUGUUCACUAGGUUUACCAUAUCGAAUGUAGGUUUGUUACUUAAACCUACCGCUCAGUUUGGACUUUUGUUCCAUACGAGCGGUCCUUUGACAAUGGUACUAUUCGGUGUCGAGUAUAAACCCCAACUAGUUUACGCUCGUCGGAUUGUCUUUAUAGAUACUCAAAUGUCGAUGGUACCUCGACUUAUUAGUCUCCUAAGGCGAACCGGUUAGAUUGUAACAUAACGCACCCACGGUCGAGUUCUUGUGUCUUACCUAAUAACCCCAGCAGCAGAUACGACCGGUCCUCUGUUUUCGAUACAAUUUGUCAUGUUAUAGGGCAAGUUUCUCGUCGUUAGAUCUCUCAAUGUACUUGUCCCUUUGGGAAACCAAUAGUCGAAAGGAGAACUAGUGUACGAGUCAACAACGAUGUCCCUACCCACAUACCAAUAAAUUUUUAUGAUUUUUGGAACUGCGUGAUGGUAUGAUGUCCUCUUUCAUGAAGUGGAAACCGGCCCUUUUGUCUUUCCUAAAACUCAAGAUACCAGAACGUAACCUCUAUAAAAAGAGGAAGAACUCAAGACACUAAUAGAAAGUCUAUUACUAUGGUUAUAGUAAUAUGUAGUGGUACCUCGAUCAAUCUCACCCCGUCAGUAUGAAGUACUAACCUCUAUGAGCCUACAUACUGUCAUCAAGUCCAAGUUCUAAAGUCACGGCCAGUAACUUAUAGUUACUUCUGGAUCCGGUUUAUGCUAUAUAUAAAAGACUGUUUUGUCCAUGGAACUGAGUUUUAUUCUACCUUAAAGUCGUUCGGUCGUAGAUACCCUCCUUAAUACCCUCGAGGAACGUCCAGUGAUCACUGAGUAGUGUACUUUAUUGGUAACGUCUCAGUAGCUCGGUUGUACUGUCCUUCGGGUUCAGUCUUUAGUUACAACUACGUGAUGAGAACCGUGAAGACUUUGUUGGUAACAAACCCCUCCUUUCUGAGCGUCGGGUACUAAAAAAGGAAUGAAACCGACGUACGUUAUGACAGUAAGGUCAAUCGUGUCCUCCAAGAGGACUAAACUGGUUACUUCAUUCACUCCAACCACGUUAACUAAUGGUCCCCCUUAGUGGACUACUCGUCCGGAAUCAUUAACGUCGAAGACGAAUGCCUAUGUUCGAACAACUUUCUUGUUGACCGGUGUAACAAUAUCUACAAGUCCCGCUCUCCUAUUCCAACCUACAAGAACCAGACGUACUUAAACUAUCACACUCUUUUUCUUACAGACAACAACAUUCUAAAGGUCUGCUGUCACACUUUCAAGAACAGUUCCCACGACUAUGAAGUUACGAAUCAUAAAACUCCUGGUCCUUGGUACUACCUGAAAAGCUAAGAAACGUGCGGUUUUGAUAUCUUUGAUGUCUUUUAGUAAACAGUUCAAUAAGGAGUCUCCCAGAUGCUUGGAAUCAUUAACCAAGCUUCAUGGAGUCGUUACUUCUUAAGUCACUUACCGUCCUUUCCAUGCUUCUUCGAUCGUGGAGGUACUGUCUCUCUAGCCGUUUCGAGGCAGUCCGCCGUCGGGAACAUCUCACGCUAAACUGAGAAGACCCACGUUGACCUUAACUUCUAUUCAACGUCCUACCACACGGACUCCGGUAACUCAGGGAGGCAGUCCGACCUUAGUUCCAGACCCAAGAGUGUCCCCUAUUCGUUCUUUGACGAUAUAGCUAACCAAAUAGUACAGCUAAUAAUUGAGUUCCAUACGUAAGCUAAUAGUAUUUACCAAGGAGGCUCUAACUUACGUCCUCGGAAGAUCGACUGCGAUUUCGGUUUAAACCUUAGUUCAGCCGACUGGAACCUUUCGUUCUACACCUUCUAGACGUGUUGCCGCUACAAAGUUUUAAUUCCAGGAGAUUACCAGUUCGUAGACUUUCACCUUAUGUUUUGAAGGUCAACUGACCUCAAUAACGAUUACUGUUCAGUCGUUUGUAACUCCUUAGUGGUUUAAAACUACUACGACUCAAUCGUGACUAUUAACUACCCUUGAGGGAACACAUAUAAGAUCUCUUUCUAGAACUUAGUCUCAAUAAACUGAACCGUUGGAGGACAUUUCAACAGUAGACGACGGCACAACGAGGAGACGUUUUCCGACCUUAACAGCUAGACUAAUUUUCGUCCUGCUCACUGUACUGGAACCGUUAGCCACUACCCCGUUUACUACAAAGUUACUAUGUCUACCGACUACAACCACAACCAUAUACACCAGUUCUUCCAGCAGUUCGUCACUACCGAAGUCUAAAACGAUACCCCGUCAAGGCGAAAAACUUCUCUAACGAAGAACAUGUACCCGUGACCUUAAUAGUCGCAUACCGUAUGUACUAAGAGAUGUUGAAGAUAGCCUUACGACAGAAACACGAUUACGAGAAGACCAUAUAGAACGUGUGACGUAUAAGGCGUUGAGAACGCGAUUGUCUAACCUCAUCACAAAAGAUAAGGGAAUAGAUGUGUAGUCAAGGGUGUCAUCACCAACCAUAAGAUCUGUUCCUGAACUCAGUGUUAUGAGAGGAAAUAAUAGGCUCUGAUAUACUCCGUCCCGAAGCUUUACUCCCGAUGUUAUACUGUGAGAAGACCUAGUGUUACGAUCUAUGGAACACCGUUUCGGAACAGGAAAAGAUACAUGGAAAGAAGUGUAUGUUAUAGUCAUGUUACCUGUAUACCUCAUACCCUUCAAAUACCUGUUAACGCCACCAAUAUGACCAGUUAUAAGUAGACCGGUACCUGUAAGUUGCAACCCACGAAUAUUGGGUAGAGCGGUAUACCCCGAGAUAUCGACGUUGCAAAAACACGUACCACAAUUAUCUAAGAUAUGGAUAUAAGGGAUUAAUGCCCUGUGAUAUGUUAUACCGACGAAGUUCUUGAAUGACCGAAUCACAAACGGAAUAUUAUCAGAACCCCAACGAAGGAGCCAAAGAAACGUUUCAUUAUAUACUCUGGAAGACCGGUAGACUAUAAGUUUAUCGUUCUCUUCGACUCAACAAUUUCUUCGACGGAGUUGUCAACGCUAGUUCCGGACUUUCACUAUAGUCGAUUGUUACCCAGUACGUCAAUCAAGCAGUGGGUCAAACCCUUGACACAACUAAGUAAACAACUCGACUAGAAAACAAUUUUUUUCUAAUAUGUACUCCUGUGUUCAAUCGUUCCUGUUCUCUAAGACCAACAUCUUCUCCGACUUUUUACGUGACUUCGCCGUCAACGCUUCUUGAUUGACAUACCGCUCCGUAGUUUGUCGAAGUAGGAACCCCCCACACCUGAUCACUAGUUAGUCUACUGUUUACAUGUCUAUUCCCCCCUUACUAUAUAUGAGACAUUAAAUUCUAUCUCAACACAGAUCCUCCUUUAUUUCUCCAUCGAAUAUCACCACACAGGCCAACCUUAAAAUGCGAAAUUUUCCCAUGUCCUAUUUAAAAGGAUCACUCUAGGUCUUGAAGUCUUUAAACUUAGGUUGUAACCUUUUCUACAUGUUCAGGAUGUUUCCCACCUUUAAAGUAAUAUAGAAAAAAACACCCCAAAGAACGACUUAACGGGA